RNAcentral lists this ribosomal RNA (330 nucleotides) under uncultured eukaryote. RNAcentral describes it as "partial 18S ribosomal RNA". It matches the Rfam family "Eukaryotic small subunit ribosomal RNA", at positions 1470 to 1796 of the family's 1831-position model. The record is from RNAcentral.
CCCUUAGAUGUUCUGGGCUGCACGCGCGCUACACUGAUGCACUCAACGAGUUUACGACCUUGCCCGAUAGGGUUGGGUAAUCUUUUUAAAAUGCAUCGUGAUGGGGAUAGAUUAUUGCAAUUAUUAAUCUUCAACGAGGAAUUCCUAGUAAGCGCGAGUCAUCAGCUCGUGCUGAUUACGUCCCUGCCCUUUGUACACACCGCCCGUCGCUACUACCGAUUGGAUGGUUUAGUGAGAUCCUCGGAUUGGUCCCGGCGCGGCCUCUGGUCGUGCCGGAGUGCCGAAAAGAAUGUCGAACUUGAUCAUCUAGAGGAAGUAAAAGUCGUAACA